This 72-nucleotide transfer RNA is filed under the name Phrynosoma platyrhinos (Desert horned lizard). RNAcentral describes it as "tRNA-OTHER". The record is from RNAcentral. Lineage: Eukaryota; Metazoa; Chordata; Lepidosauria; Squamata; Phrynosomatidae.
GCCAGUGUGGCAUAGUGGUUUGAGUGUUGGGCUAUGACUCUGGAGACCAGGGUUCAAUUCCUGGCUCAGCCA